GGGAAUACCUGGCAUUCCAAACCCUUAGAUAAAGUAAUUAACCCCUGAGCCUGGACUUCACCCGGACUUCACCCUCAGCCAGAUCUGUCUGUCAGAUACCUUCUGUUGCCCUGUGUGAAUCUUGUCUGAGAGUUUCCCAUGGAUACAAAGCCUCUGCAAACCCUGGUUAGGAAAAACCGAAAAUACCGUGGCACCUCAUAAAUCAGUGUUCUGCCUGCAUGUGUGCCUGCAAACUAGAAGAGGGCACUGGAU
Molecule: non-coding RNA, 252 nt
Organism: Myodes glareolus (Bank vole)
Lineage: Eukaryota; Metazoa; Chordata; Mammalia; Rodentia; Cricetidae
Source: RefSeq, a predicted model, not a curated record